CACGUAGGGCGCAAGCGUUGUCCGGAAUUAUUGGGCGUAAAGAGCUCGUAGGCGGUCUGUUGCGUCCGCUGUGAAAACUCGGGGCUUAACCCCGAGCCUGCAGUGGAUACGGGCAGACUAGAGGUAGGUAGGGGAGAAUGGAAUUCCCGGUGUAGCGGUGAAAUGCGCAGAUAUCGGGAGGAACACCGGUGGCGAAGGCGGCUCUCUAGUACGGUACUGACGCUGAGACGCGAAAGCGUGGGGAGCGAACAGG
Molecule: ribosomal RNA, 253 nt
Filed under: uncultured bacterium
Lineage: Bacteria
Description: partial 16S ribosomal RNA
Rfam family: Bacterial small subunit ribosomal RNA
Source: RNAcentral